GGAUGGGAGGGGACGGAGGCAGGAUUGGGCAGAGGGAGCGGUGGGGCUGCAGUGUCUCAUUGAAGGUUCAGCUGACUCUGGGAGGGGCUCUCCAGUUGGGAUGGUCCUUUGGAGUUGACCUGAACUAGAGCAACUGGACCAGGUCUCUGUACCCCAGCUUUGGUCAGUCGCUGGAUGAAGGCUGCCUCUGGAAGGAGGCCUGACCUUGGGAUGAGACCGCUUUCUUCUCUUGAGACAAUCUCCAAAGAAGGCUAAUAGCUGAGGGCUGUCUUCUGGCAGCAUUCCCAGAAGCCAUGGGAAUAAAUCCUUCAUUUCUGUCUCAGUCCAUUUAUGCUGCUGGAACAAAAAACCUGAGACUAAGUAAUUUAUAAAAGACAAAAAUAUACUUCUCAUGUUCUGGAGGCUGAGAAGUCCAAGAUCAAGGUGCCAGCAGAUGCAGUGUCUGGUGAGGGCUGCUCUCUGCUUCCGAGAUGGCACCUUGAAUGUUGCAUCCUCCAGAGGGGACAAACACCUUGUCCUCACAUGGCAGAAGGAAUGAAUGGGGUGAACACACACGUCAAGCCUUUUUAUAAAGCACUAAUCCCAUCCAUGCAGGCAGAGCCCUCGUGGCCUAACCACCUCUUAAAGGCUCACCUCUUAAUACUGUUGCAUUGGUGAUUAAGUUUCAACAUAAAUUUUGGAGGGGACGUGAACAUUCAAACCAUAGCGAUUCCUAAAGGGGCCCUGGGAAGCACAUUACAAUGUCUGUCACAAAAGCGGUGAUGGACUUGUAGAUAAAAGGGCAGACUCUGAAAUUGAGGACAAUGAUCUGGGUUCAAUUUUGGGUUCUACCUCUGACUAGCUGUAUGACCUUGGGCAAGUUAUCUACCCAUCUGAGUGUUGGUUCUUCCGCUGCACAAUGAGGAGAGUCAUGCUACUCAGGUGUGCUUGUACUUGACAGGUGCCUGGCACAAAGUAAUUACCCAACACAUAUCCCUUCCAUUCAUGCCUACCCUGUAGUCCUGAAUGACAUCACAAUUUCUUCCACGGUCCCUUCUCCUCCUUUGAACACCCCCAUAUCCUUGCCAUCCCUCCCCUAUAAAACCGUGCCUCCAGCUGUCUGUGACGUAUCCCACAGAAUUUCCAUCAACUUGUCCACAGCCCAUCAGAAGAAUGAUGGUCUUGAUCCCAAAAGCACUGGGGAGCCACUGAGGAGUUUUAGGAGAGUGACAAGAUCAGAUUUGCAUUUAAAUAAUCACUCUGUCUGCAGUGUGGAGUUAGACUUGUAGAGAGAAAAGAGGGUGCAACCGGCACUUUGGGAGGCCAAGGCGGGCAGAUCACAAGGUCAGGAGAUCGAGACCAUACUGGCCAACAUGGUGAAACCUCGUCUCUACUAAAAAUACAAAAAACUAGCCAGGCGUGGUGGCGGGCACCUGUAGUCCCAGCUACUCAGGAGAGUGAGGCAGGAGAAUUGCUUGAACCCAGGAGGCAGAGGUUGCAGUGAGCUGAGAUUGCACCACUGCACUCCAGCCUAGUGACAGAGUGAGACUCCAUCUAAAAAAAAAAAAAAA
Macaca fascicularis (crab-eating macaque) is the source of this 1550-nucleotide long non-coding RNA. The record is from Ensembl. NCBI's taxonomy places the organism in Eukaryota, Metazoa, Chordata, Mammalia, Primates, Cercopithecidae.